UCGGUUAUGGGACUCCUUUUA
This is a non-coding RNA of Caenorhabditis elegans, 21 nucleotides long. The record is from Ensembl. NCBI's taxonomy places the organism in Eukaryota, Metazoa, Nematoda, Chromadorea, Rhabditida, Rhabditidae.